RNAcentral lists this ribosomal RNA (497 nucleotides) under uncultured bacterium. RNAcentral's name for it is "partial 16S ribosomal RNA". It matches the Rfam family "Bacterial small subunit ribosomal RNA", at positions 28 to 507 of the family's 1533-position model. The record is from RNAcentral.
GAUGAACGCUGGCGGCGUGCCUAAUACAUGCAAGUCGAGCGAACAGAUGAGGAGCUUGCUCCUCUGACGUUAGCGGCGGACGGGUGAGUAACACGUGGAUAACCUACCUAUAAGACUGGGAUAACUUCGGGAAACCGGAGCUAAUACCGGAUAAUAUAUUGAACCGCAUGGUUCAAUAGUGAAAGACGGUUUUGCUGUCACUUAUAGAUGGAUCCGCGCCGCAUUAGCUAGUUGGUAAGGUAACGGCUUACCAAGGCAACGAUGCGUAGCCGACCUGAGAGGGUGAUCGGCCACACUGGAACUGAGACACGGUCCAGACUCCUACGGGAGGCAGCAGUAGGGAAUCUUCCGCAAAGGGCGAAAGCCUGACGGAGCAACGCCGCGUGAGUGAUGAAGGUCUUCGGAUCGUAAAACCCUGUUAUUAGGGAAGAACAAAUGUGUAAGUAACUAUGCACGUCUUGACGGUACCUAAUCAGAAAGCCACGGCUAACUACGUG